Non-coding RNA from Ictidomys tridecemlineatus (thirteen-lined ground squirrel), 1192 nucleotides. Lineage: Eukaryota; Metazoa; Chordata; Mammalia; Rodentia; Sciuridae. The record is from RefSeq and is a predicted model, not a curated record.
CCUUCUCCCGAACUCAAUGAAGUUAUAAAUACAAAACACAGCAGAACUUUUGAAAGGAAUAGCAGGCAUUUAUUCAGCCCAUGAAAUGUUUGAAGCACUGUUCUAUGCAUUUUGUACACAUUUAUUUUAAUCUUCAUGCUAACUUUAUUGCUGAAUGAAUCUGAGGGACUGAGUGGGUAACCGAUGUGCCCAAGGCCACUCGCUAAAGAGAUGGUAGCACUGGGAUUCUGGAUCAGGGCUCUCCAUUGCAGAUUGACAGCUACUUCACAAGCAUCACAAAAAUGAUGAUGACCAUCAUUUUUGUCUUACUGUAACUCCAACUUUUCUCCCAACUGGUUUCUAUUCAUUCCUCUCUACCUGUGACUGCCCGUACUACUUGUCUACUGCACAAAAAAUUGCCUGAGCUGAGUUUUUAGGACCCUGUUUGAUUUCUUAGAAUUUUUGCCAUAGAGCUUUAUGUGGGCUUUGCAUUUGAUAGAUGCUGUUUCUUUAUUGGCUGAGUUGAUGAGUAGUAUAAUGAUCUCAUUUACUCAACAGGGCCAUGUUACCUGGACAACAGUCUGUGGCUCUUCGUUACUGCUCCAAUCCUUUAGUGUGCUAGGUUAGAACUCUAUCAUGGCCAGCUUUUCCUUUUUCUUUCUGUAUUUGUUUAUUUAUGUAUUUACUUAUUUAUUUCCAGGUAGAGUGGCUGCGUUCACAUAGGCUCUCUCAGCAGCUUCAAAUGGAAAACUUUGAAGUAAGUGAACUUAAAAGAAGACUGAAAGCUCAGUGAGAUGUCUGGCGAUCCCUCGGGCAGCUUUGCUACACCGCUGUUGGUGGCGGAGCUGAUCCUGGGCUGUCAGGCUCGCCCCUCUAGGCUCCCGGCGCCCGGGCCUGGAGCAGUGGAGGGCUGCACUGGCGGCGGGCUGGACUCGCCACCAGGCUGCAGAGCAGUCCCCAGGUCUGCGCAGCCCCGCGGGGACUCAGCGCGCGGCGCCCAUGAUCCUGCAGCCCGCGAGGCCCCGCGAAGGACUUCUGAGCAGCCUUUUAAGCUGCCGGCUGCUUUCAAAAUGGGUCUUUGAAAGGGUGGGCUCCGGUGACUCUGCACUGGGGGACCGAGCUCCGCUUUUCAGGGAGGACCUGCUGGCGCACACGUGCCCGCCUCGGUGGCGCUCGCCUGCUUUUCCGAGAGAAUAAAAGGAAGUCAGCUCUG